GAGGGUGGAGCUCAGUGGUAGAGCUCACACUUAGCAUGCACCUUGUCCUGGGUUCAAUCCCCAGUACCUCCA
Molecule: transfer RNA, 72 nt
Filed under: Camelus bactrianus (Bactrian camel)
Lineage: Eukaryota; Metazoa; Chordata; Mammalia; Artiodactyla; Camelidae
Also listed under: 2 other names
Rfam family: tRNA
About the family: Transfer RNA (tRNA) molecules are approximately 80 nucleotides in length. Their secondary structure includes four short double-helical elements and three loops (D, anti-codon, and T loops).
Source: Rfam by way of RNAcentral